GACGAACGCUGGCGGCGUGCUUAACACAUGCAAGUCGAACGGAAAGGCCCUGCUUUUGUGGGGUGCUCGAGUGGCGAACGGGUGAGUAACACGUGAGUAACCUGCCCUUGACUUUGGGAUAACUUCAGGAAACUGGGGCUAAUACCGGAUAGGAGCUCCUGCUGCAUGGUGGGGGUUGGAAAGUUUCGGCGGUUGGGGAUGGACUCCCGGGUUAUCAGCUUGUUGGUGGGGUAGUGGCUUACCAAGGCUUUGACGGGUAGCCGGCCUGAGAGGGUGACCGGCCACAUUGGGACUGAGAUACGGCCCAGACUCCUACGGGAGGCAGCAGUGGGGAAUAUUGCACAAUGGGCGGAAGCCUGAUGCAGCAACGCCGCGUGCGGGAUGACGGCCUUCGGGUUGUAAACCGCUUUCGCCUGUGACGAAGCGUGAGUGACGGUAAUGGGUAAAGAAGCACCGGCUAACUACGUG
This 468-nucleotide ribosomal RNA is filed under the name uncultured bacterium. Its description in RNAcentral is "partial 16S ribosomal RNA". It matches the Rfam family "Bacterial small subunit ribosomal RNA", at positions 28 to 507 of the family's 1533-position model. The record is from RNAcentral.